This 87-nucleotide transfer RNA is filed under the name Acidobacteriota bacterium. RNAcentral's name for it is "tRNA-Leu". It matches the Rfam family "tRNA". Rfam says of the family: Transfer RNA (tRNA) molecules are approximately 80 nucleotides in length. The record is from RNAcentral. Lineage: Bacteria; Pseudomonadati; Acidobacteriota.
GCCGGAGUGGCGGAACUGGUAGACGCAGGGGACUUAAAAUCCCCCGAGCCAACGCUCAUCCGAGUUCGAGUCUCGGCUCCGGCACCA